CAGCCGCCACGGGAAAACGUAGGGUGCAAGCGUUAAUCGGAAUUACUGGGCGUAAAGCGUGCGCAGGCGGUUUGUUAAGACAGAUGUGAAAUCCCCGGGCUCAACCUGGGAAUGGCAAUGGAUACUGGCAAGCUAGAGUGUGUCAGAGGAUGGUGGAAUUCCCGGUGUAGCGGUGAAAUGCGUAGAGAUCGGGAGGAACAUCAGUGGCGAAGGCGGCCAUCUGGGACAACACUGACGCUGAGGCACGAAAGCGUGGGGAGCAAACAGGAUUAGAUACCCCAGUAGUCCCUGUCUCUAUACA
RNAcentral lists this ribosomal RNA (301 nucleotides) under uncultured bacterium. Its description in RNAcentral is "partial 16S ribosomal RNA". It matches the Rfam family "Bacterial small subunit ribosomal RNA", at positions 509 to 808 of the family's 1533-position model. The record is from RNAcentral.